Cyprinus carpio (common carp) is the source of this 396-nucleotide long non-coding RNA. RefSeq lists it as uncharacterized. NCBI's taxonomy places the organism in Eukaryota, Metazoa, Chordata, Actinopteri, Cypriniformes, Cyprinidae. The record is from RefSeq and is a predicted model, not a curated record.
UAAGGUGUGGUAGAUGAGGGAGACAUACAAAAUGUGCAGUUCUGGGGGUUCUCCAGGACAGGUUUGAGGACCACUGAGAUAGAAAACGGUUCAAUGGCAAUAACAUGUUAUCAGUUUAAAAUGUGCAGUAGGUGGCGGUAUAUGGCACUUUCACGUGUUCGUAUCUACCAGAGGAAGAAGAAAAGGCGCAAAGUCAGCGUUCACUGGCGCCUGGUUGACACACGUGCAGAAACCGCGAAGGAAGAGGAUCAUUGUCAGCAGAAGAACACAUGAAAGUAAAAGAAGAGGAAUCGUGCCCUUGGUAGUUUUGUAUUGAAGAUCAGUGGUGGCUCGUCCGGUGAAGGUGAAAAUGGGAGGAGGACUAUUUAAUGUUAAUAAAAUUCACAAUUCAUUUCA